Cucumis melo (muskmelon) is the source of this 108-nucleotide non-coding RNA. The record is from Rfam. Lineage: Eukaryota; Viridiplantae; Streptophyta; Magnoliopsida; Cucurbitales; Cucurbitaceae.
GUGCCCACUAGAGUUCCCUUGAGCACUUCAUUGGAAAAUUGGAAAAUUUGAAAAUUUCAAAUUUUUGUCCAAACCUACUGAAGUGUUUGGGGGAACUCUCGGUGACAU